Non-coding RNA from Camelina sativa (false flax), 130 nucleotides. The record is from RefSeq and is a predicted model, not a curated record. NCBI's taxonomy places the organism in Eukaryota, Viridiplantae, Streptophyta, Magnoliopsida, Brassicales, Brassicaceae.
CCGAUCAGCUCAUCAGGAGAUGGAGCUCAUUUCUACUGUCCGCAAUCCAUUUGUUGUAGAGUACAAAGAUUCAUGGGUUGAAAAGGGUUGCUAUGUGUGCAUCGUUAUUGGAUAUUGUGAAGGCGGAGAC